UACGUAGGUGGCAAGCGUUGUCCGGAAUUAUUGGGCGUAAAGCGCGCGCAGGCGGUCCUUUAAGUCUGAUGUGAAAGCCCACGGCUCAACCGUGGAGGGUCAUUGGAAACUGGGGGACUUGAGUGCAGGAGAGAAGAGUGGAAUUCCACGUGUAGCGGUGAAAUGCGUAGAUAUCUGGAGGAACACCGGUGGCGAAGGCGGCAUCCUGGACCGGCAUUGACGCUGAGGCGCGAAAGCGUGGGGAGCGAACAGG
This 253-nucleotide ribosomal RNA is filed under the name uncultured bacterium. RNAcentral describes it as "partial 16S ribosomal RNA". It matches the Rfam family "Bacterial small subunit ribosomal RNA", at positions 524 to 776 of the family's 1533-position model. The record is from RNAcentral.